This 274-nucleotide ribosomal RNA is filed under the name uncultured bacterium. RNAcentral's name for it is "partial 16S ribosomal RNA". It matches the Rfam family "Bacterial small subunit ribosomal RNA", at positions 523 to 796 of the family's 1533-position model. The record is from RNAcentral.
AUACGGAGGGAGCGAGCGUUAAUCGGAAUUACUGGGCGUAAAGCGCGUGUAGGCGGCAGCGCAAGUCGGGUGUGAAAUCCCAGGGCCCAACCCUGGAACUGCACCCGAAACUGCGCAGCUAGAGUCUCGGAGAGGAUGGCGGAAUUUCCGGUGUAGAGGUGAAAUUCGUAGAUAUCGGAAGGAACACCAGUGGCGAAGGCGGCCAUCUGGACGAUGACUGACGCUGAGACGCGAAAGCGUGGGGAGCAAACAGGAUUAGAAACCCCAGUAGUCC